RNAcentral lists this ribosomal RNA (253 nucleotides) under uncultured bacterium. Its description in RNAcentral is "partial 16S ribosomal RNA". It matches the Rfam family "Bacterial small subunit ribosomal RNA", at positions 524 to 776 of the family's 1533-position model. The record is from RNAcentral.
UACGGGGGGUGCGAGCGUUGUCCGGAUUCACUGGGCGUAAAGGGUGCGCAGGCGGCCGUGUGUGUGAGGCGUGAAAGCCCGGGGCUUAACCCCGGAAUUGCACCUCAAACUACAUGGCUAGAGCAUUGGAGAGGGUAGCAGAAUUCAUGGUGUAGCAGUGAAAUGCGUAGAUAUCAUGAGGAAUACCAGAGGCGAAGGCGGCUACCUGGACAAUUGCUGACGCUCAGGCACGAAAGCGUGGGGAGCAAAAGGG